Lagopus leucura (white-tailed ptarmigan) is the source of this 372-nucleotide long non-coding RNA. RefSeq lists it as uncharacterized. The transcript is spliced from 3 exons. The record is from RefSeq and is a predicted model, not a curated record. Lineage: Eukaryota; Metazoa; Chordata; Aves; Galliformes; Phasianidae.
UUGUGUGCACAUAGGAAUUGAGCAGAGUACAGCAUAUAGAAAACCAGUGGCUUCCUUUCACUGCUACGAGGCUUGAAAGGCAGACUAAAAAGCUUUCUCCUUUUGUAAUCACCAAUUGCUGAAACAGAGCACAAAUACUACAAAUACAGUGGCAAACUUGCAGAAUUACAUUCCUGCUAAUCUACACAUGAACUGUGAAAACAUGAGGGUUACCCCAAAAGUAAUGGCAAGGUCUUAGAGAAAAGAAGAGGUACCUGAAGACUGGAGGAUAGCCCGUGUCAAUACAGAAAGGGCAAGGAGGAGGAUCUGGAAAACUACAGGCCAGUCAGUCUCACCUCCAUUCCUGGGAAAGUGACAGAACAGCUUGUUCUG